UACGAAGGGGGCGAGCGUUGUUCGGAGUUACUGGGCGUAAAGGGCGCGUAGGCGGCGCUCCAAGUUGGAUGUGAAAGCCCUGGGCUCAACCUGGGAACUGCAUCCAAAACUACUGAGCUAGAGUACGGUAGAGGGUAGUGGAAUUUCCUGUGUAGCGGUGAAAUGCGUAGAUAUAGGAAGGAACACCAGUGGCGAAGGCGACUACCUGGACUGAUACUGACACUGAGGUGCGAAAGCGUGGGGAGCAAACAGGAUUAGAAACCCCUGUAGU
This 271-nucleotide ribosomal RNA is filed under the name uncultured bacterium. Its description in RNAcentral is "partial 16S ribosomal RNA". It matches the Rfam family "Bacterial small subunit ribosomal RNA", at positions 524 to 794 of the family's 1533-position model. The record is from RNAcentral.